GACGGGGGGUGCAAGCGUUGUUCGGAAUUACUGGGCGUAAAGCGUGCGCAGGCGGUCUGUUAAGACCGAUGUGAAAUCCCCGGGCUUAACCUGGGAACUGCAUUGGUGACUGGCAGGCUUUGAGUGUGGCAGAGGGAGGUAGAAUUCCACGUGUAGCAGUGAAAUGCGUAGAGAUGUGGAGGAAUACCGAUGGCGAAGGCAGCCUCCUGGGCCAACACUGACGCUCAUGCACGAAAGCGUGGGGAGCAAACAGG
Molecule: ribosomal RNA, 254 nt
Filed under: uncultured bacterium
Lineage: Bacteria
Description: partial 16S ribosomal RNA
Rfam family: Bacterial small subunit ribosomal RNA
Source: RNAcentral